AUGCUUUACACAUGCAAGUCGAACGGCAGCACGGACUUCGGUCUGGUGGCGAAAGUGGCGAACGGGUGAGUAAUGUAUCGAAACGCCUAGUAGCGGGGAUAACUACGCGAAAGCGUAGCCAUUACUGCACACACUCUUCGGGGGAAAGCGGGGACCUUCGGGCCUGCAAUUAGAGCGGCCGACAUCGGAUUAGCUAGUUGGUGGGGUAACGCUCACCAAGGCGACGAUCCGGUAGCUGGCUGAGAGACGAUCAGCCACAUCGACCGAGCAGACAUGGCCCAGACUCUACGGGAGGUGCAGUGGGAAUUUUUGGACAAUGGGGGAAACCCCUGAUCCAGCCAUCCGGGCGGGCGAUGAAGGCCUUCGGGUUAAAGCACUUUUGCGAGGGAAAGAACGGCACGGGAUAAUACCCCGUGCAACCACUUGCACCUGCAGAAUAAGCACCGGCUAGCCCACGUGCCAGCAGCCGCGGUAAAUACGUAGGCAGCGUUAAUCGGAAUUACUGGGCGUAAAGCGUGCGCAGGCGGUUCGGAAAGAAAGUGAUGAAAUCCCAGAGCUUAACUUUGAACUCGCAUUUUUAACUGAUUUGUUGAGUGUGUCAGAGGGAGGUGGAAUUCCAUGUGUAGCAGUGAAAUGCGUAGAUAUGCGGAGGAACACCGAUGGCGCUAGCUCUCCUGGGAUAACACUGACGCUCAUGCACGAAAGCGUGGGGACAAAACAUUAUUACCCUGUAGUCCACGCCCUAAACGAUGUCAACUUAGCUGUUGGGGCCUUCGGGCUCUUGGUAGCGCAGCUAACGCGUGAAGUUGACCGCCUGGGGAGUACGGUCGCAGAUUGGGAAAACUCAAAGGAAUUGACGGGGACUCCGCACGCGGUGGAUGAUGACUAAUUCGAUGUCUGCGAAAAACCUUAAUUACCCUUGACAUGCUCAAUCCUGAAGAGAUUUGGGAGUGCUCGCAAGAGAACCGGAACACAGGUGCUGCAUGGCUGUCGUCAGCUCGUGUCGUGAGAUGUUGGGUUAAGUCCUGCAACGAGCGCAACCCUUGUCAUUAGUUGCCAAGGAAAGGGCACUCUAAUGAGACUGCCGGUGACAAAACCGGAGGGGAAGGUGGGGAUGACGUCAAGUCCUCAUGGCCCUUUAUGGGUAGGGCUUCACACGUCAUAAAUGGUCGGGACAGAGGGUCGCCAACCCGCGAGGGGGGAGCCACAAUCCCAGAAACCCGACUGCAGUCCGGAUCGCAGUCUGCAACUCGACUGCGUGAAGUCGGAAUUUGCUAGUAAUCGCGGAUCAGCAUGUCGCGUGAAUACGUUCCCGGGGUCUUGUACACACCGCCACGACAGCAACAAGCACCAUGGGAGUGGGCUUUACCAGAAGUAGUUAGCCUGAAUCAAGGAGGGCGAUUACCACGGUAGGAUUCAUGACUGGGGUGAAGUCGUAACAAGGUAG
Molecule: ribosomal RNA, 1447 nt
Filed under: uncultured Bordetella sp.
Lineage: Bacteria; Pseudomonadati; Pseudomonadota; Betaproteobacteria; Burkholderiales; Alcaligenaceae
Description: partial 16S-23S ribosomal RNA intergenic spacer
Rfam family: Bacterial small subunit ribosomal RNA
Source: RNAcentral